AUACGGAGGGUGCAAGCGUUAUCCGGAAUCACUGGGUUUAAAGGGUGCGUAGGCGGCCUUGUAAGUCAGAGGUGAAAUACACGAGCUUAACUGGUGAAUUGCCUUUGAAACUAUCAAGCUAGAAUUAUGUUGAGGUCAGCGGAAUGAGUCAUGUAGCGGUGAAAUGCAUAGAUAUGACUUAGAACACCAAUUGCGUAGGCAGCUGGCUAGGCAUUAAUUGACGCUGAGGCACGAAAGCGUGGGGAGCGAACAGGAUUAGAUACCCGAGUAGUCC
This 274-nucleotide ribosomal RNA is filed under the name uncultured bacterium. Its description in RNAcentral is "partial 16S ribosomal RNA". It matches the Rfam family "Bacterial small subunit ribosomal RNA", at positions 523 to 796 of the family's 1533-position model. The record is from RNAcentral.